AUUGAACGCUGGCGGAAUGCUUUACACAUGCAAGUCGAACGGCAGCACGGGGGCAACCCUGGUGGCGAGUGGCGAACGGGUGAGUAAUACAUCGGAACGUGCCCGGCCGUGGGGGAUAACGUAGCGAAAGUUACGCUAAUACCGCAUACGAUCUGAGGAUGAAAGCGGGGGACCUUCGGGCCUCGCGCGAUCGGAGCGGCCGAUGUCAGAUUAGGUAGUUGGUGGGGUAAAGGCCUACCAAGCCGACGAUCUGUAGCUGGUCUGAGAGGACGACCAGCCACACUGGGACUGAGACACGGCCCAGACUCCUACGGGAGGCAGCAGUGGGGAAUUUUGGACAAUGGGCGCAAGCCUGAUCCAGCCAUUCCGCGUGCAGGACGAAGGCCUUCGGGUUGUAAACUGCUUUUGUAUGGAACGAAAAGGCUCUGGCUAAUACCUGGGGCUCAUGACGGUACCGUAAGAAUAAGCACCGGCUAACUACGUG
RNAcentral lists this ribosomal RNA (484 nucleotides) under uncultured bacterium. RNAcentral describes it as "partial 16S ribosomal RNA". It matches the Rfam family "Bacterial small subunit ribosomal RNA", at positions 30 to 507 of the family's 1533-position model. The record is from RNAcentral.